AUACUUACCUGGACGGGGUAGAUCGGCGAUCAUGAAGGCCAAUGGCCUAGAUCAGUGGCCCACAUUGCACUUGGUGGGUGCGCUGGUUUACCAUCUCCUCAAGUAGGAGAGUGGACGUCGUAAUUUGUGAUAGAGGGGUACGCGUUCGCGCGGCCCUGC
Phragmites australis (common reed) is the source of this 159-nucleotide small nuclear RNA. RefSeq annotates it as U1 spliceosomal RNA. The record is from RefSeq and is a predicted model, not a curated record. The transcript has a single exon. NCBI's taxonomy places the organism in Eukaryota, Viridiplantae, Streptophyta, Magnoliopsida, Poales, Poaceae.